Long non-coding RNA from Mesoplodon densirostris (Blainville's beaked whale), 1199 nucleotides. RefSeq lists it as uncharacterized. The transcript has 3 exons. The record is from RefSeq and is a predicted model, not a curated record. NCBI's taxonomy places the organism in Eukaryota, Metazoa, Chordata, Mammalia, Artiodactyla, Ziphiidae.
CCGAGCGGUGUACGCGGGAGACAGCUUUCUCGACCUUCAGGCACCCGGAGACAAGCUGGAGGUAGCUGGCAGCAGGUAGCUGGAGGACCGGGCUUCCGGUACCCGCGGAGCUGGUGUUCUCCCUGCCAGGCCCGGGAGUGCGCACGUUCCUGACCCAGUCUGGCCCGGCUCGGGCUGGCAGCCAAAUCCGGCUCUGCGCACGGGUCGUGAGUCCUCGGCCAGGACGUGCAGCUCCGGAGCCCGCGCGGACGACCUUGACCAUCUCGGCCGGCUGUUUCCCCCUGAGAGAAAUGACAGGAAUCUCUAAGGAGUGAGAGGAAAACUGAUGACAGGCACUGCCCAAAGAAGAUGGAACUGUCAUAGGUGGUGAGUGGAUAUCGCCAAGAGACUUAUGGUAUCUCCUCCAUGUCUGACGGAGAUAACAGCCAGCGCUGGGCUGCAAAGUCUCCUCUGGAAGACCACUGAACCAAGAGGGUAAAUGGUGUGCAGAGACAAGUCAAGUUCAGAAUUGGAGCCUCUGGUUCCCCCAGGAAGGAAUGGGUUGUAAACAAGGUGAAAGGCAGUGGGAUGAGCACUACAGGACCCAUGGGCUACCAUCAGGAUCCACCAGAAGGGAAAGUUACAGAGACAAGAAAUCGUAUUGGGCAAGCUCCAGGAUUACAGACGAUAAGGAGAAUAGACGUCACCUUCAAAACACCUCACUCACUGGAGCCAAGUGUACCAGGACAGCCCUGUCUCCCUCGCAGGACCCUACAGGAGGAAUCCAGACAAGGCCCACCUACCACAAUUGAGAUUUCUCUCUAAAGAAAAUCAUUUUAACCAGACAGUUCCUGAAAACCAAAUGCCCACUCUAGUUGUCCUCAGAAAAGGGCAUAACAUCUAAUAACUCAAAGACAGUUAUGCUUUGAUUUAAUUUGUAAUGAGGUGGAUGGACCUAGAGUCUGUCAUACAGAGUGAAGUAGGUCAGAAAGAGAAAGACAAAUACUGUAUGCUGACACAUAUAUAUGGAAUUUAAGAAAAAAAUGUCAUCAAGAACAUAGGGGUAAGACAGGAAUAAAGACACAGACCUACUAGAGCAUGGACUUGAGGAUAUGGGGAGGGGGAAGGGUAAGCUGUGACAAAGUGAAAGAGCGGCAUGGACAUAUAUACACUACCAAACGUAAGGUAGAUAGCUAGUGGGAAGCAGCCGCAUAGCACAG